UUGAAUUUGGGUUUUUAAGUUAGAUUUGGGUGGCGGACGGGUGAGUAAUGCGUAAAGAACUUGCCUCACAGCUAGGGACAACAUUUAGAAAUGAAUGCUAAUACCUGAUAUUAUGAUUUUAAGGCAUCUUAGAAUUAUGAAAGCUAUAAGCACUGUGAGAGAGCUUUGCGUCCCAUUAUCUAGUUGGAGAGGUAACAGCUCACCGAGGCGAUGAUGGGUAGCCGGCCUGAGAGGGUGAACGGCCACAAGGGGACUGAGACACGGCCCUUACUCCUACGGGAGGCAGCAGUGGGGAAUAUUGGACAAUGGACCGAGAGUCUGAUCCAGCAAUUCUGUGUGCACGAUGAAGUUUUUCGGAAUGUAAAGUGCUUUCAGUUGGGAAGAAAGAAAUGACGGUACCAACAGAAGAAGUGACGGCUAAAUACGUGCCAGCAGCCGCGGUAAUACGUAUGUCACGAGCGUUAUCCGGAUUUAUUGGGCGUAAAGCGCGUCUAGGUGGUUAUGUAAGUCUGAUGUGAAAAUGCAGGGCUCAACUCUGUAUUGCGUUGGAAACUGUAUAACUAGAGUACUGGAGAGGUAAGCGGAACUACAAGUGUAGAGGUGAAAUUCGUAGAUAUUUGUAGGAAUGCCGAUGGGGAAGCCAGCUUACUGGACAGAUACUGA
Molecule: ribosomal RNA, 663 nt
Filed under: uncultured Fusobacteriota bacterium
Lineage: Bacteria; Fusobacteriati; Fusobacteriota
Description: bacterial SSU rRNA
Rfam family: Bacterial small subunit ribosomal RNA
Source: RNAcentral